Long non-coding RNA from Carcharodon carcharias (great white shark), 387 nucleotides. RefSeq lists it as uncharacterized. The record is from RefSeq and is a predicted model, not a curated record. The transcript is spliced from 3 exons. NCBI's taxonomy places the organism in Eukaryota, Metazoa, Chordata, Chondrichthyes, Lamniformes, Lamnidae.
CAUAUAGCUGUCAAAAUCAAGCUCAGCCUGCUUGUCAAUAUCAGACCAUUUCACUUCAUCAUCCAAUGAGAGGAUUGAAAACAGAUGUCUCAAAAUCCUACCAUUUCACACGGACCACUUAGAUCUUCCAGUCCAUGGAGGAUUCUGAUGAAAAUGCUACCGCCAGAUUUCUUGGGCCAUCCCUCCAUUUGGACACUCUGCAGAUAAAGUCCGAGAAAAGUCAAGCAGAAAGUUUCGAAUGUCCCUCGCACCUCAUUAACUUACACUGGACCAUUGCAGGCCAGAGACUGGAAAAGCAUUAGUGAAUCAACCGUGAAGUGGAAAAAGUUAAAAGAAAAGAGUAGCUCAAGCUUUCACUGAAGACUACAACUGAUGAAUCCUGUGGAG